Molecule: unclassified non-coding RNA, 486 nt
Filed under: Hevea brasiliensis (rubber tree)
Lineage: Eukaryota; Viridiplantae; Streptophyta; Magnoliopsida; Malpighiales; Euphorbiaceae
Source: RNAcentral
UUCAAAAUUAAUUCACCAAUACUUCAACCCCAACUAUCUUCUAUGGAACUAAGAGAGGAACUUCAUUAUGUACAGUCUUCAGAUCGCCUUCUGCUACAAUUUAUCAGCAAUUUUGCCGAGAGCAUCAGCAAGCUUAUUAAGAACAGCAACCAAGCUGUCUGCGUGGUCCUUCCGCUGCUCCCGGUCCAGCUGGAAAUUGGUGUUCUGCGCUUUAAGUUGAGCAGUAAGCAUCUUACCAUUCUUUUCCAAGACAUCAAUCAACUGAUUCUGGACAUUGAUUGUUUCUUCAUCCCCGUCUGUUGUGAGUCGUUUCCGUUUCCGAUUCUCGUGUGAAGCAGAACCCACCUCAGGAUUGGAAGCAGGAUGUUUCUCAUUUGUUGUACCUUGAGCUUGAUCAGCUUGUAGAGCUGGUUGGUACUGCUUCUCUGAAAUUGGUACAGGAGCAGCCACUCCCGCCGCUGCCGCCUUUAUUGGUGGAACCUCCUU